This 373-nucleotide ribosomal RNA is filed under the name uncultured bacterium. RNAcentral's name for it is "bacterial SSU rRNA". It matches the Rfam family "Bacterial small subunit ribosomal RNA", at positions 525 to 896 of the family's 1533-position model. The record is from RNAcentral.
ACGUAUGGGGCGAGCGUUGUUCGGAGUUAUUGGGCGUAAAGGGCGUGUAGGCGGCUCUCGCAAGCUUGGUGUUAAAGGUUUCGGCUUAACCGGAACAGUGCGCUGAGAACUGCGGAGCUGGAGUCUAGGAGGGGGAGCUGGAAUUCCAGGUGUAGGGGUGAAAUCUGUAGAUAUCUGGAAGAACACCGGUGGCGAAGGCGAGCUCCUGGCCAUAGACUGACGCUGAGGCGCGAAAGCGUGGGGAGCAAACAGGAUUAGAUACCCUGGUAGUCCACGCUGUAAACGAUGUGCACUAGGCGUUGGAGGCUUUCAGCCUUCGGUGCCGUAGCUAACGCGUUAAGUGCACCGCCUGGGGAGUAUGCUCGCAAGGGUG